RNAcentral lists this ribosomal RNA (426 nucleotides) under uncultured prokaryote. Its description in RNAcentral is "bacterial SSU rRNA". It matches the Rfam family "Bacterial small subunit ribosomal RNA", at positions 355 to 774 of the family's 1533-position model. The record is from RNAcentral.
UCGAGAAUUUUUCACAAUGGGCGAAAGCCUGAUGGAGCGACGCCGCGUGGGGGAUGAAUGGCUUCGGCCCGUAAACCCCUGUCAUUCGGGAUCAAUGCCUGUGGCUUAAUACACCGCAGGUUGAUAGUACCGAAAGAGGAAGGGACGGCUAACUCUGUGCCAGCAGCCGCGGUAAUACAGAGGUCCCAAGCGUUGUUCGGAUUUACUGGGCGUAAAGGGUGCGUAGGCGGUUGGUUAAGUCUGACGUGAAAUACUGGAGCUCAACUCCGGAACGGCGUCGGAAACUAUCCAGCUAGAGGAUUGGAGGGGGGACUGGAAUUCUCGGUGUAGCAGUGAAAUGCGUAGAUAUCGAGAGGAACACCGGUGGCGAAGGCGAGUCCCUGGACAAUUCCUGACGCUGAGGCACUAAAGCUAGGGGAGCAAACA